UACAGAGACUGCAAGCGUUAUUCGGAUUCACUGGGCGUAAAGGGUGCGCAGGCGGCCGAGUGUGUGAGGCGUGAAAGCCCGGGGCUCAACCCCGGAAUUGCACCUCAAACUACACGGCUAGAGCAUUGGAGAGGGUAGCGGAAUUCACGGUGUAGCAGUGAAAUGCGUAGAUAUCGUGAGGAACACCAGAGGCGAAGGCGGCUACCUGGACAAUUGCUGACGCUCAGGCACGAAAGCGUGGGGAGCAAAA
This 250-nucleotide ribosomal RNA is filed under the name uncultured bacterium. Its description in RNAcentral is "partial 16S ribosomal RNA". It matches the Rfam family "Bacterial small subunit ribosomal RNA", at positions 524 to 773 of the family's 1533-position model. The record is from RNAcentral.